RNAcentral lists this unclassified non-coding RNA (666 nucleotides) under Hevea brasiliensis (rubber tree). Lineage: Eukaryota; Viridiplantae; Streptophyta; Magnoliopsida; Malpighiales; Euphorbiaceae. The record is from RNAcentral.
UAUGAAGUAGACGUUACAUCAAUAAAGUUUUCUACAUUUACAGAAAUCAACACCCAUAACACACAUUAAACAUUAGCAUCAAUAUUUCACAACCAACGAUUCAGCAUAUCCCACAACGAAUCAUCAGCAAUAACAAGCAGCGCAGUAGCAGAAAAGCUUCUUUCACCAACCCUCCACACCUCUCUUGUGCCACUCAGUCAGUUAUGUGACUGAUCCUGCUCAAUAAAAUCUAAGGCUCCUUCCCUGGAUACAACAGUGACCUUGCUAACUCUAUUUUUGUGGCUCACACUAUAUAUCUUAUCAGCCACCUUCACGAGCUCCGGGCGAAAUGUCGUCGUGAUAAAUUGCGUGCUACCCCUGUCUGCCAAAUCACGAACCAUAUUCCCCACGGCUGUUCUGUACUGAGGAUCUAGUGCUGCAUCUAUCUCAUCAAAAAGAUAAAAUGGGGCAGGAUCACAUCUUUGUAUGGCAAAUAUAAGUGCCAGUGCUACCACAGUUUUCUGGCCCCCUGAUAACUGUUUCAUUGACUGUGUUUCUCCUUGUCCAGUGAACGACACCUUCACUUUCACACCAAUAUAUUUCUCAACUCUUCCCUCUGCAUCAGCACGCGGCUCAUCAUCAUCAGGAUCAUUGUCAUCUUCCUCACCAUCCUUUUUCUUCAUCAUA